GGGGGUCCAUUCCUUUUUAUUCUCUUUUUGUGAUUUACCCAAAACUAUUAUUUAUUAUUUUAUUCUCAUAAAAAAUCAUGCCUAUUAUUUUAAUUACCCAAUAGGGAACCAUAGUUGAAACACCCAAGUAAUCCUGCACAACUCCUAAAAAUUUUCAUAGCAAUCAGAAUCAGGAUCAGGGCCCUAAAACUCAGGGGGGUAUUUCCUACUUAACGAUUAUCCUUAUAUCUCGCUGUCUAAAUUGAAAAUUAUCGUUCCGUCGACUCAGCAGGCCUAAGUAGGUGACGAAGCAGGCCUAGCCUACUUUGGAUUCCCCCGCGACACGCGACAGAUCCCGGGGAUCCUGUCGCGACACGCGGGCGGUUCCAAAUCAGGCUAUAAAUAGAGGGCAGUGGGACUUGCAAUUGUGCGUUCGUUCGACAAUCAAAUUCAAAUUAUACUCCGAGUUAUAGUAGAAACAGUCUCCCAAUCACUAAUUAGUAGAGAGGGGUGCUGCUACGAUACAGGGUAUUAACUCGAUCGCUAUUACGAUUCAUUUUCCGGGAUCAAUAUAUCCAAAGAAUGUCUAAGUGCCGCCCACUUUGGGUUAUACUUUGUCGUUUGUCGUUAAUUCGAUAAAUGAGUUGAAGUAUUAUACUUUGUCGUUUGUCAUCAAUUCGAUAAAUGAGUUGAAGUAUUGCACUUUAUCAUUCGUUGUGAGAAUUUGAUCUCGUGAGUUAUCGUAAUUGUUGUAUUAAGUUACCUACCUAGUUCGUAUGCACUAGGUUACAAGGCUAAAUCAAUAAACUAAGCUCUGCCUGUGUAAAUCUGCAAUAUAUCAAGGCUUAUCUGUAAACUAAACUUUGGCCGUAUGAAUCUGCAUGAUUAUAAUGUACUUACAGUAGAUUGGAGUAAGGAUUGGAUCCGGCACUAAAAGACUUCAAGAAGUGGCUUACUUUCAAAUUAAGAAAUAUUGUUUUUAUUAAAAGCUACCUUUGUAAAACAUGGAAUUUAUUCCAUCUAUUUAAAUAAAAAUCCGGUGUUUCUA
This 1027-nucleotide long non-coding RNA is filed under the name Helianthus annuus (common sunflower). Its description in RNAcentral is "sRNA HanXRQr2_Chr14g0649651". The record is from RNAcentral. Lineage: Eukaryota; Viridiplantae; Streptophyta; Magnoliopsida; Asterales; Asteraceae.